RNAcentral lists this small nucleolar RNA (91 nucleotides) under Mus spretus (western wild mouse). RNAcentral's name for it is "predicted gene, 23758 (ENSMSPG00010048610.1)". Lineage: Eukaryota; Metazoa; Chordata; Mammalia; Rodentia; Muridae. The record is from RNAcentral.
UUUUUAAGAUCUGAGGGGGAAAAACCCACGUGUGGAUUGCCAGAGUUAGUUUUUUUCCCUAGAUCUGGUUUUAUAAAUUCUAGUAAUAAAC